CCUACGGGAGGCAGCAGUGAGGAAUAUUGGUCAAUGGGCGCGAGCCUGAACCAGCCAAGUAGCGUGAAGGAUGACUGCCCUACGGGUUGUAAACGUCUUUUAUAAAGGAAUAAAGUGAGGCACGUGUGCCUUUUUGUAUGUACUUUAUGAAUAAGGAUAGGCUAACUCCGGUCCAUCAGACGCGGUACUACGAAGGUUGCAAGCGUUGUCCGGGUUUGUUUGGGGUAAAGGGAAAGCAGGGGGUCUUUUAAGUCAGUUGUGAAAGUCUUCGGCUUAACCGGAGUAGUGCAUUGGAGACUGGGAGACUUGAGUGCAGUAGAGGUAAGUGGAAUUCCAUGUGUAGCGGUGAAAUGCGUAGAUAUAUGGAAGAACACCAGUGGCGAAGGCAGCUUACUGGUCUGUAACUGACGCUGAGGUUCGAAAGCGUGGGUAGCAAACAGGAUUAGAUACCCCAGUAGUC
Molecule: ribosomal RNA, 460 nt
Filed under: uncultured bacterium
Lineage: Bacteria
Description: partial 16S ribosomal RNA
Rfam family: Bacterial small subunit ribosomal RNA
Source: RNAcentral